This 253-nucleotide ribosomal RNA is filed under the name uncultured bacterium. Its description in RNAcentral is "partial 16S ribosomal RNA". It matches the Rfam family "Bacterial small subunit ribosomal RNA", at positions 524 to 776 of the family's 1533-position model. The record is from RNAcentral.
UACGUAGGUGGCAAGCGUUAUCCGGAAUUAUUGGGCGUAAAGCGCGCGCAGGCGGUUUCUUAAGUCUGAUGUGAAAGCCCACGGCUCAACCGUGGAGGGUCAUUGGAAACUGGGGAACUUGAGUGCAGAAGAGAAAAGCGGAAUUCCACGUAUAGCGGUGAAAUGCGUAGAGAUGUGGAGGAACACCAGUGGCGAAGGCGGCUUUUUGGUCUGUAACUGACGCUGAGGCGCGAAAGCGUGGGGAGCAAACAGG